UGGGGAAUAUUGGACAAUGGGCGCAAGCCUGAUCCAGCCAUGCCGCGUGAGUGACGAAGGCCUUAGGGUUGUAAAGCUCUUUUGGCGGGGAAGAUAAUGACGGUACCCGCAGAAUAAGCUCCGGCUAACUUCGUGCCAGCAGCCGCGGUAAUACGAAGGGAGCUAGCGUUGUUCGGAAUCACUGGGCGUAAAGCGCACGUAGGUGGGCAGUUAAGUCAGGGGUGAAAGCCCGAGGCUCAACCUCGGAACUGCCUUCAAAACUGGCGACCUGGACUCAAGUAGAGGCAAGUGGAAUUGCGAGUGUAGAGGUGAAAUUCGUAGAUAUUCGCAGGAACACCAGUGGCGAAGGCGACUUGCUGGACUUGUAGUGACGCUGAGACGCGAAAGCGUGGGGAGCAAACAGGAUUAGAUACCCCCGUAGUCCCUGAGCGGGCUGGCAAGGCGCAU
This 447-nucleotide ribosomal RNA is filed under the name uncultured bacterium. Its description in RNAcentral is "bacterial SSU rRNA". It matches the Rfam family "Bacterial small subunit ribosomal RNA", at positions 355 to 825 of the family's 1533-position model. The record is from RNAcentral.